ACGAACGCUGGCGGCGUGCUUAACACAUGCAAGUCGAACGGAAAGGCCCUGCUUGCAGGGUACUCGAGUGGCGAACGGGUGAGUAACACGUGGGUGAUCUGCCCUGCACUUCGGGAUAAGCCUGGGAAACUGGGUCUAAUACCGGAUAGGAGCCAUUUUUAGUGUGAUGGUUGGAAAGUUUUUUCGGUGUAGGAUGAGCUCGCGGCCUAUCAGCUUGUUGGUGGGGUAAUGGCCUACCAAGGCGGCGACGGGUAGCCGGCCUGAGAGGGUGGACGGCCACACUGACACUGAGGUACGGCCCAGACUGCUACGAGAGGCAGCAGUGGGGAAGAUUGCACAAUGGGCGCCAGCCUGAUGCAGCGACGCCGCGUGGGGGAUGACGGCUUUCGGGUUGUAGACUCCUUUCGCUAGGGACGAAGCUUUUUGUGACGGUACCUAGAUAAGAAGCACCGGCUAACUACGUG
RNAcentral lists this ribosomal RNA (464 nucleotides) under uncultured bacterium. RNAcentral's name for it is "partial 16S ribosomal RNA". It matches the Rfam family "Bacterial small subunit ribosomal RNA", at positions 29 to 507 of the family's 1533-position model. The record is from RNAcentral.